CGCUUCUCCAUAAAAAAAUCAACCUCACUCUGCAGGAGUCUUCAGGAGGCAUCAUUAAUAUUUUUCUUCAUAUGAAGCUCUCUUCUUUUUAAGAGGAAAUUGUAUCUUAUGCACAUGAGGCUCUAUCUCCCUCUCUCUUUAGAUGAACCACCAUUCCCAUAUAGUGAUCCAAAUAGGGCAUAUAAAUUCUCUGCACUUUGAUCCCAUCCAUCUAAAGUUAGGAAUCCAUACUAAAUAGAAAACUUCUUAUAGAUCUUACAUAUAUCUCAAAAGACUAAGAGAAAUAUCCAAGAGUUUUAAACCUUUUUGGAUUUCUAUUUCUCUUAGGGGGUGUUUGGAUACCUGGAAAUAUAUUGUCUGUGAAAUAUAUUACUAGCGUAAUACAUUACUUGCAAAUGGAUUGUCACUGUUUGGAUAGUAUGUAGAUGCAACCUGGGAAAUACAAUGUUACUGUUUGGCUAUGUUCAGAAGAAAGAUGGGAAAUGCAUUACCAACUCUUUUUUUUCUUUUUUGGCUUUAUACCCAAAAC
Molecule: long non-coding RNA, 529 nt
Filed under: Amborella trichopoda
Lineage: Eukaryota; Viridiplantae; Streptophyta; Magnoliopsida; Amborellales; Amborellaceae
Description: long non-coding RNA (ATRI_LNC004131)
Source: RNAcentral